RNAcentral lists this long non-coding RNA (41759 nucleotides) under Mytilus galloprovincialis (Mediterranean mussel). The record is from RNAcentral. Lineage: Eukaryota; Metazoa; Mollusca; Bivalvia; Mytilida; Mytilidae.
ACAGUGCAAAUUUAGUCUAGUUGUGCUCGCAUGACAAUUUUCUUGAUCAUUUGAAGACGAAUACAGGGAUUGUCACCACAUCAACUGUUGCAGAACAGACGUUAAAAAGGUGAGUAAAGCAGAAUACAAAAGUAAAGACUAUGAAAAAUAAAUUGUGUAACAUGUACAACUUCUUGAAAUAACUCAGGCUAACUUUUAUGUGAUAUCAAAGUUCAGACGGAAAUCCUCGUCUGUGAAAUUUUAUUAAAUUGAAAAGAGGAAAAGGGAAAACCCAAAGCAGUUUUUUUUAUGUUAUGUAAAUAAAAAAUUAUCUGGAUAUGUGCCAUUUUGAUAUGUAAAAAAAUAUCCUGCUGCUGAUAAUGGUACAGUGGUGUUUGAUGUCCAGUGGCAAAUAUCACAUACCAGUUCUGCCCACUUUUCGUGAAGCAAAUGCUUAAGAUUUGGCCAAAAUUGAAAAAAUCAAAGAGAAAAAAACAAUAAAUCAAAGGAAAAUGCCACAAAAAAGCAUGAACAUCUGCGAGUCUCACGCUAGACUUGGCAGCCCUGUCAUACAUAUAUUUAGGGACGACAAUAUGGUAAUGCAGACUCUCAACUAUCCAUAAUUUCCCCCUGUCAAAUUAGAUAUAUUCCUUAAUCAGAACUAAAGACAGACAGUGAAUCUCCUUGACAAUGCAAUUGACAAAAUUGUACAUCGUAAGAUGUGAGCUAGUUGCAAACAAUAUUUAGAAUUUACAUACAAGGUAAACAAACAAACAAAAACAACAGUUUAUGAAGGUUUAAACAUAGUUAUGUCACCUAGCAGUCAUCCUAAACAUUCAUGAAAUAUUUGCAACUGGACAUUAAGCAACCAACACAUCUGUGUAACUUUUUACCCCCAAGUUAAUGAUGGCAUGUAUUCUUGUUCCAACAACUACCUUCACAACUAUUUGAGAAUAAAUAAUACUUCUUGAAGCCAUCAUAUAUAGAUUUAAGAUGAUGUGGUAUGAGUGCCAAUGAGACAACUCUCCAUCAAAGGUCGCAAUUUGUAAAAGAAGACUGUUAUAGUUCAAAGUAUAGCCUUCAACACAGAGCCUUUUCUCACUUGGAACAGCAAGCUAUAAAGAGCCCCAAAAAUGACAUGUGUAAAACAUCUCAAAGGGAAAAACAACUAUCUAUUCUGAUCUAUAUAAAAAAAAGAUAUAAGAAACACUUAUGAACCACAUAAUCAAACAACAACCACUGAACAUCAGGUUCCUGAUUUAGAACAGGUGCAAAUAAAUGCAGCAGGGUUUAAACAUCAUGCAUGAAAGAAGAAACAACUACAACAGAAUCAAUAGAAAAAUUGUAAAGUAAUGCAGAUGAUAAGCAUUAAAACUUCUGUCAAAAAUUAUGUCAAAACAAAACUAAAAGUCUUAAACAUGUCCUGUCAAUUGUAUAUCUGUUCCUCCUCAUUCAAGUUUCUCUGGACAUUGUGGUUUUAACACUGAUGUAAUAAUAAGCUUUAUCUGUUGGAACAAAUACUCUAUACCAUUUAUUCUGUUAGAAACACAUGAUGCCACAUACUAAGAAACGUCAAAUAUGUUCAUGACAGUUCAACUCAAAAUUAGGUAUUCACACAUCACCUUUAAUCAUUUAAUCUAUUAUGACACCAAUAAUCCCAUUUUAUUUUAAUUAUAUCAUUGAUCCCCAUCGAAUUAUAAUAUUGGUUCACAUUUUAAAUAUAAUAUUGAUUCCCAUUUUAAAUAUAUUAUUGAUUCCCAUUUAAAUUAUAAUAUUGAUUCCCAUUUAAAUUAUAAUAUUGACUCCCAUUUAAAUGAUAAUAUUGAUUCCCAUUUAAAUGGAUUCUAAUAAUAAUGUAUACAGAAAGUCUUAGUUGAGAACAUGAGAUGGUAAUAAGUUACACAGCCAUUAACUAUCUAUCAUUCUGAAGAGUAUAAGGGACGACAUCAAAAGUUCAAUGCAGGAUAAAAAACUUAAUUCACAUAGUUUUUUCACUGACCCCCUGUCCCCCUCUUAACUUAAUUUGGGAAAAAUUGAUUGACCAAUAAGGAUAUAUGUAAAAUCAAUGUCAAUUUAUACAAAACUUGCAGCAAUUUGACCCCCCACUUGUACCUUUCAUUCUUACUCUGAUUGAUAUAAACUAAUAAGAAGGAUUAAGUUCUAAAGAGAUAGAUUAACUUUGCUACAUGUUAAAUUAACAUGCCUUUCACAACUUACACAAGUUACAGUUUUCGGUUUCGGUUUAUAUCUCUAUGUUUUUUUUUUGUCUUCUAAGAAAUUUGAUGAUAGCAUGGCUUGGUAGUCUUUAUUUAUUCUUAACUUGUCUGAACUAGGGUAAUUUGUAGCAUUGAUGUGGUAAAAACACUUUUUUAUUUGUAUGUUAAAAUUGAGUUUUAGCAAAGACUUUUGUGCUUAGUUUUUUUUGUAGGAUUUCUGUUUUUCUUAAUCUUAUUUUUAAGAAUGGUCAUAAUUGAUGAUAAUUUCCCUACAAUGUAGCUUUAAUCAUUUUUAUCUGCUGUUAUUUUAUACAUACAUAUGUGUGGUUUUUUUAUUACACUUGUCUCAUUAGACCUCAUUAGGGAAUUGUCAACUAGACUUCCCCAUUUAGAUUCCCUUGUGAACCUAGCCAGUUUGGUAUCUUCAUCCUGUUAUAUAUAUUAUAUGUACCCCUAUUUCCUUCCUUAUAUUUAGAAAAAUAAGCAAUCAGUAUUUUAUUUAUUGUACAUGUUGUAUCAUGUCAAUGAAUAAGUUCCAUGUACAUGCAAGAGAUCAUCUUAUUUAAGUAUCUAAAAUUAAUAGAAUUUCAUUGGUUGCUACUUUUCGUGGGAAUUUUAUUAUUGAAAUAUGAAUAAAUCUUGUGAAUUAGCAAUGUAAUUAAUUCAAUUGAUGAACCAUGAAGGACUCGGGUUACUUUAUACUGUAAACUAAUAUGGUUUGGUUUCAGUUGAAAACCAUCUACUAAUGAUGACCCAAUUAAAUAUUUUGUUGAAUAAGUAGAGUAUGUUUACAAAUACCUCAAUUGUUAAGUAUUAAUGAAAUGAUAAUUUAUUAAAGUCAUGUACCUACUUGCUAGACGGAUCAACUCCUCUAUUUUGAUUUUUGUGUAAAUUGAAUCCAUAUUCGACCUAAAAUUUUCCCCGAACUUGUGAGUCACUGUGCUAAACCACCGAUUUGAGUUCAGUUCCAGUAGAGUAAUAUCCAGAAUCACUUACAAGGCAUUAUUAAAUUGUGAUCAUGGUUACUGAAAGCAAAUAAAUUAUUGAGAGACUCACAUUUACUUUUCAUUACAAACUUUUGUGUUUCCCUCUAUCUGGUCACUAAUUCUAACAUUCUAGCUGCAAAAUUUUGAAUAUUUGGAUCAAUGAGUUAACAAGGUACGGUGUGAAGUGAAUUGAACAUCAACUAAUCUUCAUCGUUAGAUGAGUUUAUGAGAAUAGAAUUAAUCUGUUUCGACAUGCGUCCUUGCUAAUCUUAAGGCUAUAUAAUAAGAACUAAUAAGCUUUUAAAAAUAUCGCGUAUACUUAUUUUUACCCAUGUGAUUCAGCAAACACGACAUUAGUAUCUAAGAGUUGUCACAAUGUCUUUGGUUUACUAGAAUAAGUGAAAAUAAUAAAUCCUCUUAUCAUGGCCCACAAUGACAUUGCGAAUCUUCCAACAAUUCCUGAGAAAAUUCCAAGCGAAAUUUAAAACACUUAAAAAAAACUUGUGGAUAAGGGCAAAUUACAUCCUAAGAAUAUCGACAACUGUAGCCAGCAAGACUAUAGAACGUUUGAAAGACCCAUGAGUGCGAUGGAAUCAGCAUAAAUACAAGGUGGCAAAGUGGAGGAUUAGGAUUUCAAAAUGAGAAGUUUUUUUCUUCAAUUAUUCUAUUGAAAUAUUCUUCUUUAUUUAAAAAUCCGCAGACACAAAUUAACAUUGGUAGUAAUAAACCAUUAUUAUCUCCAUUUUACCAUUAUCCUCUAUAUAAAAACCGAUCCAAAGUCUUUUAACAAAAUCAAACAUGCAGUACAGGAUUCAUGCCAUAAUCAUCAUACACUACCGCUAAGAAAUUACUAUAUAUUUGGCGAACAGUUUCAGGAAUGGUGGAUGAUUACACACAUGUGUGAUAGACUAGUGGCAGGCAACCUGUCCAGAUAUAUCUGGUACUGAAAACAUGGUUAACAUAGUCAAAAACCCAAUGAAUAUCUAAGAAUUGAUCAGGUCAGAUAAGUUGAAUGGAUCCACAUACAAAUAUAUCUAUCUGAGACAUCGUUACCCUAAAGGUGAUAGCCUUGGAGCCCAAUUAGUAGAGUCUGUAUACAAAUAUUACUAGAAAUGAUACAAAGGGAAUAUGGANNNNNNNNNNNNNNNNNNNNNNNNNNNNNNNNNNNNNNNNNNNNNNNNNNNNNNNNNNNNNNNNNNNNNNNNNNNNNNNNNNNNNNNNNNNNNNNNNNNNNNNNNNNNNNNNNNNNNNNNNNNNNNNNNNNNNNNNNNNNNNNNNNNNNNNNNNNNNNNNNNNNNNNNNNNNNNNNNNNNNNNNNNNNNNNNNNNNNNNNNNNNNNNNNNNNNNNNNNNNNNNNNNNNNNNNNNNNNNNNNNNNNNNNNNNNNNNNNNNNNNNNNNNNNNNNNNNNNNNNNNNNNNNNNNNNNNNNNNNNNNNNNNNNNNNNNNNNNNNNNNNNNNNNNNNNNNNNNNNNNNNNNNNNNNNNNNNNNNNNNNNNNNNNNNNNNNNNNNNNNNNNNNNNNNNNNNNNNNNNNNNNNNNNNNNNNNNNNNNNNNNNNNNNNNNNNNNNNNNNNNNNNNNNNNNNNNNNNNNNNNNNNNNNNNNNNNNNNNNNNNNNNNNNNNNNNNNNNNNNNNNNNNNNNNNNNNNNNNNNNNNNNNNNNNNNNNNNNNNNNNNNNNNNNNNNNNNNNNNNNNNNNNNNNNNNNNNNNNNNNNNNNNNNNNNNNNNNNNNNNNNNNNNNNNNNNNNNNNNNNNNNNNNNNNNNNNNNNNNNNNNNNNNNNNNNNNNNNNNNNNNNNNNNNNNNNNNNNNNNNNNNNNNNNNNNNNNNNNNNNNNNNNNNNNNNNNNNNNNNNNNNNNNNNNNNNNNNNNNNNNNNNNNNNNNNNNNNNNNNNNNNNNNNNNNNNNNNNNNNNNNNNNNNNNNNNNNNNNNNNNNNNNNNNNNNNNNNNNNNNNNNNNNNNNNNNNNNNNNNNNNNNNNNNNNNNNNNNNNNNNNNNNNNNNNNNNNNNNNNNNNNNNNNNNNNNNNNNNNNNNNNNNNNNNNNNNNNNNNNNNNNNNNNNNNNNNNNNNNNNNNNNNNNNNNNNNNNNNNNNNNNNNNNNNNNNNNNNNNNNNNNNNNNNNNNNNNNNNNNAAUUUUUCGAAAAACUAAGGAUUUUCUUAUCCCAGCAUGGAUUACCUUACUAGUAUUUGCACAACCUUUUGGAAUUUUGGACUCAAUGCUCUUAACUUUGUACUUGUGGCUUUAUAAAUAUUUUGAUAUGAGCGUCACUGAUGAGUCUUAUGUAGACGAAACGCGCGCUGGCGUACUAAAUUAUAAUCCUGAUACCUUUGAUAACUAAUUAUACUCAUGUCAUGAUAAGGUGUUUUACUGGUUGGCAUGCUACUUCAAUCCUCUAGGAGAAUUCAGUAGAUAUUAGUUUUGGUUUUAAUAGUUAUUGCGGACAUCACUUUUAUAUGAUGAUGAUGUGUACACAACUUGAUCUUCAUUUUCUGACAGGCGAUCAUACAUUUGUUUUUGUACAUGUAUUAAUAUAAGAAGGUUUCACCAGAAUUAAAUACAUGACUUGACCCUUGGAAAUUUGCUGAUGCUUAAAGAUUUACUUAAUUCAUAUACGAAAUCAGAACGUGGGAGUUGUGCAAAGCUAAAUGGAAGGGUCAAUUUCAUAUGAUCGCUGACCAUUAUUACGGUGUUUGCAUAAGUUGAAAUUAUUUAACAUUUAACUUAAGGAUGUACUUAGGUGAGGUUAGGUAAAAAUAAAGAAAUUAAAAAAAUUAAAUUGAUACUAUAAGCUGGUAGAGCAUCAGUUAAGGAUAAAGAUAUUGAUAGGUCAUGGGCCUCCUUUUCGAGAUAAUUGAGAUUUAAAAUAUGGCGGGAAAAGGCUGACUCAGACUUUUACCUUAUAUUUGCAUUGGUAUUAUUUGGGUCUCAAAACAAAAGAAAGAAAAUCAAGAAAUCUUCUAAAAUUUUGAUAAAUGACCUUUCAUGAGCUAUUAAGUCUUAUAUGAAAAAUUAUGGUGUUAUGGGGCAAAAUAUUUUACCUUGUAUUGUAUGGAAAAACACCAAGGAGUCCGAUAUUUGACACAAAUUCCAAAACCUCACCUAAGCACAUCCUUAAGACAAAUGCUUCAUUUUGGUGAAUAUCAAGAAGGUCCUUAACAGUUUGACAUAAAUUCUUCGUUAUAUGAUUGAUAUUACAACAUACAUUGGUUGUUCAGUUGGUGCAAACUUUCCAACCCUUCUAUAUAUUCUUAUUCUUACAUGAAGCAUCAUGUUUUAAAGCCUUGAGAAAGAAAAGAUUAUAAUAUCGUUGUUAUAACUAUCAUAGUAUAUGUCAAAUAAGUAUUGACAAUGUUUUAUGUUACAUAUAUCUAUGAAUUAAAUCAAAUUCAGGGGAUAAAAUCAAAUACAAUUUGAUAUUUGACCAUACAUAUUAAAUUUCACGCGAUUAUUUAGUAAAAUAUCAUUAAAAAAAAAUAUGAGUUUUUGACCUUAAAAAUCUAUAUGAUUAGAAUUUUCUAAAAUACUAGUACAUUUAUUGACUCAGCCCCCUAGACCAAAGUGUUGUGCCAAUACUUUAAAUAACCAUAUUCGAAAUGCCAGUUGUUAAAGUUGGUUGAUUGAUUAUUAUUUGCUCUAUGUCUAGGGGAUUAAAAUGGAAGUAGUAUUUGAUAUCAUUCCAUUUGUUUAUAUACUGUUUUAUGAUAAAAACAUAGGCCGAACAAAAAGGAGUAUGUAGCGAUAACCAGUUUGCAUGAAAUUAAUAUCAAUAAUGGGCAUAAAGAGUAUUUUGUUUGGAUAAAACGGUGUUGACCAAAAUCUUGUUUUAUCAAACUUUCUUGCUAGAUAGAUAAACCUCUAAAUGUCAUACAACCGUCUACAAAAAAGUACAUAGGAACUAAAUAUUGAGCAAUACGUACCAAACCAAAAUCCUAGGGUGAUCGCAGGCGAUAUCGGCAAUGUUUCCUUAUUUGUAAAUCUUGUUUUUUGCUGAUAAUGUUUGCUAUUGACAGUUUAAUAUUUGAUAAUGGCAGUUGUUAUAUAAUAGUUCGUUUCUAUGUAUGUUGCAUUGCCCUUUUUUUUGUUGCACUUCAGUGUUCUUUUUGUUCGUUGUUUUCCUCUUAUAGUUGAUGUGUUCCCUCAAUUAUAGCUUGUAAACCGGAUUAGUUUUCUCUCAAUCGAUUUAUCACCAGCCCAAUAGUCAACACUUCGGUGUUGACAUGAAAAUCAAUAAUGUGGUCAUUUUUAUAAAUUUCCUCGAAAAACUCAGGAUUUUCUUAUCCCAGGCAUAGAUUACCUUAGCCGUAUUUGGCACAACUUUUUGGAAUUAUGGAUCCUCAAUGCUCUUCAACUUUGUACUUGUUUGGCUUAGUAUAUAUAUUGAUAUGAUCGUCACUGAUGAGUCUAAUGUAGACGAAACGCGCGUCUGGCGUACUAAAUUAUUAUCCUGGUACCUUUGAUAACUAUUCAUGACUUGUUAAUAGCGGUAAACUACUGUUGCCUUUAUUUAUAAAUCACAGGCAAUUAUCUCUGAAAAAAGGCCUUUCCAUUAUACUUGAUUUUCAGUGUCUCUAGUGUCAAUCUAUCUAUAAAGUUUUCCAAAAUUUUGAAAACAAAUCGUUAUUAAAGGACAAUAGUUCAUAUACGGAUUUUUCUGAUGACUUUAACCAUGUUGAGAUAGUUAGAGAAAAUCUGAAAAAAAGCAAAAGUUUUUUAAAAUGAUAAAUAAUUGAUAGAAACUUUCAAAAGUGUAACAUGAUCAACAACACAAGAUCUGCAAAUAGGUCAGCAUAGAUGAAAUUGUCAACUGUACUUUAUGGUAGAAAUUGAUCUUAAAUGACGAAUUAUAUGUUUUGGGCUAACACGCUUGAACAAUAAUAAUGGAAGAAAAACUGUAAACAGAAAUAAAUGAUCAGCAAUACAAGUUCAACAAGCUAGAAACUGUAAAGAUCAUGUGUUGUGCACCUGCAACAAUGGUUGCCCUCUACCAUUGUAGUUGAUUUCGUCUUGAUUGUUAUCUUUGCUGUUUACAAUUUUUUCUGUAUUCCUCAAAGUGUUUAUAAAAAAAAAUUAAAACUGAUAUAAAGUAUUUUUUAAUAGCAAUAUCUCCUAUAAAGAGAUGACUGACAAUUUCAGGAACCUUGAUAUAUUGUAGACCGUGUCUUGCUCGUCAGAUUUUAUGUUUUCUAUUUUUCUGUCAGGAAUAUCAAUUUAUAGACAAACUCGCAAAACGUUGGUUACUAUCGUCGUGUUAGGGCAAUAAUUCCUAUAUAGAGCUGUUGACUGAAGAUGUAAGCCAUGUUGAAAUAUAAGUUGAUCUUGUCUUGCUGAUUUUUUUUGCUAUCAAAUUCCUAUAUAUGUUUUAUAGCGCAAACGCUAUCUAUCGAAACACUGUCAUUUAAGGGCAAUAUAUUACUUUUGGACUAUUUUAGAUUUCGGUCUAUUUCUGAAAUUUAUUUUUACAUACUUUUGAGUUUUUAACCCUGUAUGCUAACAUUGCCUAUGUGAAAUUUUAAAAUUGUUUGUAUGUAUACAUUGAACGACAAAUAUAUGUGACGUAUAAAAUUGUCUGACGUCAGAUAUGCAAAUCACUGAAUGUGUUUGCAGAUAGAUGUUUUUGUGUUCUGUUAAAUUGUUCCUUUUAAAAUUGUUACACGAUGAUAACUGCUGUACCCUUAUUUUGACUAUUUUCUUUAUUGUGUCCAGGUUUAAUCCACCAUUUUCUACAUUUGAAAAUGCCUGUACCAAGUCAGGAAUAUGACAAUUUUGUCCAUUCGUUUUUGAUGUGUAUUGUUAUUUGAUUUUGCCAUGUGAUUAUGGACCUUUCCGAAUUGAUUUUCCUCUGAGUUCAGUAUUUUUGUGAUUUUACUUUUUACCCCUACAAAAUGAACGGCCAACGAUUUCAAGGUUUUAGUAGCCACAAAUCAAGUUCAACCCACCAUUAUUUUUCUUAAAAUGUCCUGUACAAAUUCAGGAACAUGGAAGUUUCUAUGAAAUAGUUCGUUUCUAUGUAUGUUGGUGUCUGUUUUUGUUGCACUUUAGUAGUCCUGUUGUUCCUUUGUUUUCCUCUUAAAGAUGAUAUGUUUCCCUCGGUGUUUGUUUGUUUUUCCCCGGAUUUUGUUUUCUCUCAAUCUGUUGAUGACGUUCGAAUACUACUGUUGCCUUAAUUAUUCAGGAAUUUUACUUAUUUCAAGGUGUAUCUUGUCUUGUGGGUCAUUUUAACUGAUCAAAUAUCUCUCUAACCUUAACAGUAAUUUAAAUAUCACAAUCGUUGAUAAAAAUCGAGAGCAAUAACUCCUGUAAAGUUUUAUCUGACAAUUUUGGCCAUGUGGCUUAUUUGUUGAUCUUCUUUUACACGAGGAGAAGUUCCAUCUGAAUGCUAGUUCUUGUGCUCGCAUUUAUUAUGAAACAUCUAGAAGCUGGGAAUUCUAUAUUUAAUAAGAAGUUCGUUUGAAAUUAACAUAUACAUAUCAGGUUAGAGAGCAAGUAGUUCACAUGAACUCCCUUCACUUUUAUCUUUUGUAUGCUAAUAAUAUACCAAAAAAAGAGAGAUAAUUAACAGCUUUGCAAAAAUAAUGCACAGUUGCACAAUGUUUAUACUCGAUCAUUACUUGCAUUUCAUGAAUGCUGUCAAAAUUUAGAAUAUACCUUGACAUUGUACUCUGUUGAAAGCUAUCUAUCGAUUGAAUUUUAAUUAUAGAUCUACUAUGGUAUAAUGCAUGCCCUCUGUGUGUGAUUGUUGUGACGUCAAACUUUGAUCUGAUCCAUUUUACCAACAUUAUUAAAUUUCCUUUGUUUGAUUUGUGAAUGUAAUUUAAAUCAUUCACUCAUAUUCAUAAAAAUAUAUAUAUAUAUGAUUAAAAAUAAAUAACACAAUGUGUAAGGGUAAUUCCUUUUUAUCUACCUGUGCGUUCCACCUUUUGCCUCAUAUACCCGUCAGGUAGUGAGUGACUAGGUUUGCUUCAUUAAGUAAGUGCUGUAGGAGACGUUCAGUCCCAAUUAUUAUUACAGACGAUCUUCGUUGACAAUUUAAGUGAACGAGAUAGAAAAAAAAACAUUUUAAGACGGGGAAUAUACAUGUGAUGAAGGAUAUUUAAAUUUCAUAUAAACAUAUAAAUAUACGGAAUAACUCGCACUGGUAUCGCACACUGCAACACAAUUUAACAAGUAAGCAUUAUUAAAUAAAAAUAAUAAAAUAAUUAGAUGUUAAAUUUAAAGCGAACUUAAUAAUUGUACAAUUUCUGGUCCUUUUGUGUCAAGUUUUCAAUGCGAAGGAUUUUUAAAAAUUAUUUCUAUUUCUAAGACAUGAGUGUUUUGUGUAAUAAUCAACCCUGUAACCAUUUAAUGGUAAAGGGAUAUAUAGGAAUUAACAUGUUUGUUGUCUAAAGUAUAUAUUUAUUUUCCUUUUCCAUUCAAUUUGCAUAUCCAAGAAAUUAUAUAUACUUUCAGACUGAAAAACAAAUAUUAAAUUUGCAGUUUUAGUCACAACUUUCAGAAACUUAUGUUUCAUCGGAUGUUCUUGAGAAAUUAACACUUUCAUUACUUUUUGUGCCUUUAUACACCAUACAAGUAUGAUUAAUUAAAUCGCGUUUGUUUUUGUUGCAUUUCGGUGUUCCUGUUGUUCCUUUGUUUUUAUUGAAACUUUUGUGUUUCCGUCGGUGUUGGUUUGUAAGACGGAUUUGUUUUCUCUCAAUCGAUUUAUGACUUUUGAACACUGGUAUACUACUGUUGUCUUUAUUUACAUUUAAAAAAGGUAUACCUGCACCCAAUUUCUUUAAAAAAAUAAUACAUAAUUGACUUUAAAUAAAAUAAAAAAGUAACAAAUAAUUAAUUAUGUCUAAUGUCAAAUUAUUGAAAAAUAUUUAAGACUUAGAUAUCGGUCAAUCAAAUCAUCAUAGAUACCAGGAUUUUGAUUCUGUUUGCCAGACGUGCCUAUGAUAAUGGUUACUUAGUAUAUAUAUUAAAAUGCAGGCCUAGCAACAUAAAAAUCAUUAUUGGUAUACAUAAAUGAUUUGAAUACAAACAGUACCAAGUCAGGAAUACGACAGUUGUUGUCCAUUCGUUUGAUGUGUAUUUUUGUGAUUUAAUUUUUUUAUGGUAUCAGAUCAUAUCACAUUCUCAUCUAUUUUUAUGAAGUUCAAUGACAUCUGAGUCUUAUAAAUAUGUUGCAAUAACGUGAUAUUCUACAGAAGUAUCUACAUUACAUCUUGUGUUUAACUUAAAGGUGCUUAUAAUCUAAAAGGAAAUAGGCUAAAUGUAUUUGUUAUUACACUCAAAGAAAUAACACUUUAAAAUGUUCGUGUUUCCAUGGUAUUCCCAUGUAUCAGGUACACUCAUACCUACACGUUCGAAAGUCUGGGAUAUGUAUAUAUGUAUAUAUAAUCACAGGCAAUUUGUUUUACCUAAUACACCCUAUAGAAGUGUUAUAUUAAAGUAUAUAUAUAUGUAUAGGUGCAAAAAAUAGAGACGACUGCCUGUGGAAGAAACGUUAAGGGCUAUUUGAUACUAAUUAAGGAAACUUGUAAUAGAUUGGAUUCAUAUUAUUUCGUUACAUGCAUUCAUUGUAUACAAGUGUGUUUAAUUUGUUUUAUUGGACGAAAACUUAGUUUAAGAAUUGAAUUAUAUCUUCCUUACAAUAAAUACUCGUAUAUUUUUUUUUUACCUGUUUAAAGUGGAAAAACAAGAACGAUAUUUGAGCCUCAAUAUGGACUUCAAAUAUCUUAAUGUAUGUCCCAAAUACCUCAACAAAUCAUUUACGAAAGCUAAACAUAAUUCUGCGGCUGCGUUUAAGUUUAUAAUUCAUGUAUAAUAUAAAAAAAAAGGAAGAACAAACGGUUGAAACGUUUAGACAACUACUUGUAAUGUUUAGCAAAUAAAUUGAUGUUUACGUCAACUUCUGGCUUUUUUAAAGUUAGAAAAAGUCAACAAAAUUGAAUGGCUGAGAAGAAAGUAUGCUUUUAAUUUUUAAUUUUAAUAGAAAUAGUUUAAAGCUUUCAAAUUGUAUUUCUGAUGAUUGUGCGUGUGUAUAUAAAACUCUUUUAGGCAUUACAUGGCAAAUAGUAGUGUUAUUGCUAUGUUAUAGAAUUUUCCAAUGUCUGAAGGUUAUGUCGGACGAAUUGAAUUAAAAUGUUAUUUUUACUUUAUCGACUGAAUACCGUCAUUUGACAUGGACUCCAACAAUGUCACAUAGUCAUUCAAACUUAGAUUUUUACUGGCCCUGAGUUUGAAAUUGACUUUUGAUAUAAAUCUGAUUAUGUCUGUCUCUCCGAAUAAGUCAUCUCCGGGUCAAGGUAUAGUAAAAUUACAUCAUGGAUUUUACAGGAUAAGAUUAUUAGAUUUCUAAAGGCCAAAUAAAUGCCAGCCAAUAAUUGUUUCGUGGGAUCUUUAUCAAAACGGUUGUUAACAAAUACUUAACACUGUAACCAAUCUUCUGAACAGAAGCACAUUAUAUUCUCUUUGAAUAUUAUUCUACGCGUAACUGAUAAAACCAAAUCUAGUUCCAUAAACAUGCAAGUACAACUGUGCAAAACUUCAUUUUACUUCAAAAGACAUGUUAGUUGACCGUUAAUCAAAAUAUUGGUAAAAUCUGAUAUGAAAAAUUUCAUUCAUUUCAAUUUUUAGAUUUUAGUCUGCAGAAAAUAACAGAAUGUCAGAGCCACUUACAUUGCCACCAUGUCGAGUGUGUGGAGGAACAGCCACAGGAAUUCAUUAUGGUGUCAAUACAUGCGAGGCAUGCAAGGUAUGGAGUAUAAUUUGAACUAGCGAGAGAAUGUGAUAGUUAUGAUAUCGAACAUAUAAAAUAAAGCCUUUAUAGAAAGGGUUACAUAUAGAUACGCUGAUUAUCUAAUCAUGGUAUCAGCACAUGCCAUUCAGACAAAUAUACAAAUAAAGGCAACAGUAGUAUACCGCUGUUCAAACUCAUAAAUCCAUGGACAAAAAACAAAAUCGGGGUAACAAACUAAAACUGAGGGAAACGCAUUAAAUAUACGAGGAGAACAACGACACAACACUACAAUGUAACACACACAGAAACGGACCAAUGUAGUUACUACUGUUGUAAGAACAAUAUCUGAUUUUGUAUAGAAACAUGUUCUAAGUUAUCAAAUAGCAUUGUCUAAUGAUUAAAACUGGUAAAAAAAGUUCUUGAUUUGUUUGUGAUGGAAUCUUAAAAAAAAAAACUCAAGAGAUGCAACGGAAUACCAUAAAUAAAUAUGUGAUUUUUAAUAUAGACUUCACUUGAAAUAAAUUUUUUUCAAAUUUGAAGUGUGAAAAAAUUUACUUGCAGGCAUUUUUCCGAAGGUCUUUGGUAGAAAACAACAAGUAUGUUUGUCCAAGAGAUGGUGACUGUAAGAUUAUCAACCAUAAAAGAGCCAACUGUUCUGCCUGUAGACUUAAAAAAUGUCUGGAGUUGGGCAUGUCCAAAAAAGGUAAUGUAACGGACUUUAAAUGAUUGAAUAAAAACAAUAGAUACAUGGUUUACUAAAUAGUUAAAGAACAUUUGAGUUGAGUGUCAGUUUAAAGGCUUCAAUUGGAUAUUUGAAAAUGCUGUGUUAUUGUGCUGCAUUUUUAGGACACAAUGUAUCAAUAAAUGUCAAUAUCCACAUUUUCUAAUUUAUACAGACUAUCAAUUAGACAAAAUCUUACACACAUUAGGCAUCCUAACUUUUCUUUUCGAUGUUAAUUUCUAUGGGUUACUUUGAUCGAUUUUGGGUCCGCAUGAUCAGUUGGUUUUGUUCUAAUAGUUAUCAAAGGGGUCGGUUUCACAAAAUAACUUAUGACUAAGAUAAGUCUUAAGUCAUGAACAAAUCAGUAUACUUACGAUUAAUCUUAGUCGUAAGUUUUUUUGUGAAAUCGACUUCAGAAUUAUAGUUUUAUUACGCCAGACGCGCGUUUCGUCUUCAUAAGACUCAUCAGUAACGCUCAUAUCAAAAUAUGUAUAAAGCCAAACAAGUACAAAGUUGAAGAGCAUUGAGGGUCCAAAAUUCCAAAAAGUUGUGCCAAAUACGGCUAAGGUAAUCUAUUCCUGGCAUAAGAAAAUCCUUUAAACAGAAGUGAUAUAACACUUACUGGAAUACUAUGUUCAAUAUGCAUUAUAUGACAAAGUUAAGUAUAUUUGUAUAUUUGUUAAUGUGUGUAUGUUUGUAUUUUACAGCUGUGCGUCAUGGUCGAUAUACUGUUGCCAUUAGAACAAAGACCAUUUUAGAAGUGAAACAACUUGAGAGGGAAAAGGCAUUGAAUGAUACCUUUUCUAUGGCUGAUUCGGUUGCUAAAAAGUUACCAGAAAUUAUCUCAGUACCCGAAAGUGACAUAGUUACAGAUUCCUCUGUGCAUGAUAACAUUCUCUCCUUCCUGGUAGAAGGUUCAUCAAUGGAGCGUACAAAUUUCACAUCAAAUGACACUUUACAAUCAACAGUUAUAGGCAGUAGCAUGCUAUCUGUUGGUGAUUCUUUUCAUUCUACCAGUAAUUCAUUACAGUCUGCCAUUGAAGACAAUCAUGGGAACAUGACAUCACUAGAGCCAUCAUCUCUAUUUACAUCAAUUGAAAAUGCGAUAGACUUUGAUAUGUUCACAAACCCGAAUGACAUUGACAUUCUAAACUCAACUGACCAUGACAUUGAAAAUAUUGAAAUAUCUGGAUUAGACAUGUUCUUAAAUGGGCAAAACGUGAAUACAUCAGAUAAGAUAGAUUUCUUGGAAUUGAAUCCAGAUGAAUUGAUAGAUCUGACUCAAGAGUUAGUUGACGUUUUCCCUCCCCAGACAUCAAUCAGUACUGAAGUUCCACAACAACAGAGUCCACUAAGCAUAGUUAGUAGUCCCUUCAGUGUGCAACAGUAUAGUCCAGAUACUACCACAUUAGACGAGAGUAUGUCGUCACAGUUUGGAUCUCAAAGUACAUGUAAGUAUCUUAUUAAGCACUAUUCAAAAGUACCAAUACAGAAAAAAACAAAAGUGAAAAUAAAAUAUAAUAUACAUAGAUGUUUGUAUAGAUGAAUGAGAGCGCAACUACUAGUAUAUGACAUACAAUCGUUCAGAGAUCAACAAAGGGUUUAAACUAUAGAUCCAUUAGGGGGAGGGAGGGGUGAUACAUUCAUAUUUCCAGAUUUCCACUAUAAAUUACAAAACAAGCCUGUCUAUUCAGGAAUAAAAGAUAUUUUCGUAUUUUCCUUUUCAGCAUGCAUUGAAUUGGUGUCAAAUACAAGUCGUUUACCAUCAAGGAAGAAUACACGUUCACCCAUUGAGCUAGAGGAUAAUAGCAUGUCACCUCGUCCACAAAAGAAGUUAAGAGCUUCAUUCAACUUAGCAGACGACAUGGAACAAUUACAAUUGAUAAAUACCAUGGUUUCUGCACAAGAAAUGUUAUAUCCUGCAAUGAGGAAACAUUUCCAGAAAGAAUACACAGCCGUCAUUCACAGAGAAUUCUGGGUAAAUUUUGAAAUCCAUCAUAGCUUUGAUGUAUUUAUGAUGAAAAAUUAAAUCAAAAACGUUAUAGUCAUUCACAGGGAGUUCUGGGUAAACUUUGAAAUACAUUUCUAGCUUUGAUGUAUUUAUGAUAAAAUUAAAUCAAAAAUGAGUAUGAUAUGAAAGGAGACUAACACGUAGGACCUUGAAGCAGUUAGUUAUAAUUUGAGAUCAAUUUAAAGAAUUAUACGAAACAAAGAAAGAGGCUUUGUGUCUAUAUAUGGAGUAUGAUGGAUCAAUCAUUCUGCUUAUGUUUGCAACUAAACAAAUUGUUAAGAAACUCAUAAAAAUACACAUUUUUUUACGAUGUCAUCAUCACGUUUUAGUUGACAGGCACGAUAUGUUUAUGUUACAACUCACUAGUGACAUGUUUUAGUGGUCUUAGAUCUUUAUAUACCAGAUUAUAAUACUCUGACAUGUGAAUUCAUUUAUAUCUUUUGAAUGGAUACUGGUAAACUACUGAUGCCUCUAAUUUCGAAAUCAGUUGCAUAGCAUACACAACUUGAAUAUUUAUUUUCAUUUCAGGAGAAAACACAGUUACAAAAUGAACUAUUUGGUCAAUUGAAGAGCCUCUCAUCAACUGAAUACAACAACUUUUUCAUGGUGACUGGGAUUGAUCUUGAUGGACGCAUUGGCUUGUUCACUAAGUGUGCAGAAUCUAUGCAGAAAGAAAUCGUCAAAUAUAUUUCCUUUGUCAAGACAAUACCUGGCUGGGAAGAUGUUCAUAAUAAUGAUAAACUCACACUUAUCAAAGGUUCGUUAAAAUAGUUUGCACCACUCUUAUAGAUAGGGUACUGUUUCAAACAAAAAAAACAAGACAAUGUUUUAGUGUUAUUCUAGCACACAUAUGGCAGAUUGUUGUUUUUCGAAUGAUAAAUUCUAUAUCUACCAUUUUUAAGAUCAUUUAAAAAAACCGUACAAAGGACGUUAUGUAUUAUACCUUUGAAUAGUUGAUAAGUGUUGAUACUGAGUGAGGGGCGGAAGAUACCAAACGAACAUUAAAACUCAUUAACCGAAAAUAAACAUACAACGACAUGGCUAAAUAAAGGCAACAGUAGUAUACCGCUGUUUGUAAUCCAUAAAUCUAUUUAGAAAAAAAAUUUGUGUAACAAACUAAAACUGAGGAAAACACAUCAAAUAUACGAGGAGAACAACCACAAAACAGAAACACUAAAAUGCAACACAUACAAAAACGGAACUAUAAGUUAACAAAGGCCAUUUUCCUGACUUGGUACGGGUCAUUUUAAGAACACUUGGUAGGUUGAACCUGGUUUUGUUGCUAGCUAAACCUCCUGCUGUAAUGCAAUGUUACAUAUUAUACUAAAAUGAAAACAUUACAUGACAAAAAUACAAUACAAAUAAAUGGAAGAACAAACAGGACAGAUACAUACACAAAUAAACAAAACAAUAGGACAUUACGACAAGCUAAUAGUUGUUAAAGGUGCUAGAAAAGAAAAAAAGACAAACAGACUAACAAUAGUACAUAAAACACACCAUAGAAAAAUAAAAGACUAAGCAACACGAACCCCACCAAAAACUAGGGGGAAUCUCAGGUGUUCAAGAAGGGUACAUUGCUGCAAUAUGCCUUAGAUGAAUAACACUUACCAUCCAUUAAGAAAAGUAUGCGCUAAGAAGUCUCCAGUUAAUAAGGUAGAUCGCGUAUUACGGGAUUGUGGUUAAGAUACCAAUAAUAUUAAGACAGUUAUACAGGAAUAAAAUUAAAUCCGAAUGUUAAUGAAUUUAAUUUGUUUUUCUUUUAGCUGCUAGAUUUGAGUAUUGGCUACUUGGAAAGUUCGUGAAUCAUAAUCCUGAUAAGAAGUUUUCAGCUGAUGAAAAUUGUGGACUCACUCACAAACAGAUUGAACAAAUGUGGGGGAGUCCUGAAAAUAUUGAUGCUGUUAGUAACUUCACAAGGAAGCUAAAGAAACUUGAUUUGUCAUUUGAAGAGAUUGCUUUGCUUAGAGGAGUAGUAGUUCUGUCUAGAGGUAAGAGAGAUAACUCUAAUAUUUCAAUAAUGAAUUCAUCGGUCACAAGUAUAAAUAACAUACUCAUGCAAGAAUAUUAUCCCUUCAUGUGCAAGAAUAAUAAGGGAAAUCAGAAAUCCAUUACAACCAGCAUACUUAUGAUUAGAUGCAGAAGUAGUUAGACGAUGUUCACAAGGUUCAAAAGUCGAAAAUCAAAUUAUUAUCAGCUCAGUUGUCAGUGUUUUUUUGGUAAUGUCAUGAUUUUAGCAUGUAUUGUUUUUAAUUUUAUGUUGAUUAUAAAAAAAAUGAUGAUAAACUAAGAUUGAAACUCCCUCGGGCAAAGUUGACCUUAUGUGAGUUUGGCUUUUCUUUUUGGUUCUUUGUUUGGUUUUAUAGCUCCGAGCGUUUUUAUAAUCAUAAUUUUAUGAUGUGUCAUACUUACAUAUUUUUAUUCAUAUAUGAUAAUGAGCAGUUUGCAAAAAUCAAUAAUAUGUCAGGAUUUUCUUUGACCUUUCAAUUCAUAACUGGAUAAUUACCAUAAAGAGAUGCUUCUAAAAAUGUCAUGUAGAUUUAGGUAUGAAUGCCGUUUAAAACUUUCGCCUCUUGUUUGGCGAUGAAAAGUUACAAUAUAAAUAAAGACAUUAAAUAAUUCGUCCUAUUAGGAACAUGUAUAUUGAUCUACUGUUCCGAGAUUCUGUACAUAUUAAAAAUAAAUUUGAACAUUUUCAUUGCAGAUCGGUGUUCUCUUCGUGAACCAGAAGUGGUAGAGAAACUUCAAUGGAAAAUUUUACAGUCAUUUAUCCACCUUGUUAAAAAGACACAUCCAAAUGAACAGUUGAGGUUUGCUCGUUGUAUGGACAAACUAACACAAUUGAGGGAACUUACAGAGGUUAACUACAAAACAAACAAAAACCUAGAGAACUUCCAAAAGUCUAUGAUUCAGAAUUAUCCAUUGUUGUAUGAAUGUGUUACAUUUGAGGGAUAACAGCUGACCGCACAAUACGAGGCAAGAAUUCUCGAUUUUAAAGUAUUGGUAGACAUUUGGAUUCAGAUAAAUGAUGAUAUUUCACGUUUUGAGAUGUCAGCUUUAGAUUCAGCUUUUAGUGCUUAAUAUUUUUAUUCUAAUUCAUCAAAACAUGUAUGUUCUUUAAGGAUUUUUUUUUGUUUACAGGUAGUGUUUCAUGAUAGCCUUUUCUGUUCCUAUCAUGAGAGAAUGUUCAUGGUCAAAUGAACCUAAACGUGUGAACGUCCUUAGGUCAUAGGGAAUACGUGUAAGCAAUGUCGAUUACAGUGCAAAAUACAGUACAACAGCUACAAAUUGUCAUCUAAAUAUCAGGAAAAAUAUAACAAAAUAAUAUUUUUGUUUGCUUUUAAACAAAUGGCCCAUAGGGUACAUAAUAUGAUAUAUUUCUUUAUAUAUAAGUGUAUCGAUUUGUUACGAGUGACUUAUUUCAAACUUUUUGUGGCACAUAAAGUUUAAAUCUAGAGACAAUUUUGAAUUUUUAAAAUAGAAAAUGUCUCUGUGACCUUCUUUAUCCCCAGAAAGCUGUAUAAAUACCAAUGGCAUUGAAACUGUAUAUAAUAUUCUCCAAAUAUAACAUUUGUAAACGAAUUUGAUCCCAGUUAAGAAGAAGAAUUUCAUAUGAAAAAGUUUUCCUUCAUUUUCACAGUCAUCGAUCUCACAAAAAAAAGAAGGGCAAUACAUAUAUACAAUUUUUUCAAUUUAGAUACGUUAAUAUAGUCUUAAGAUAGAAAUUGUAAUAUGGAGCGUGGUUCUAUUUUACAUAUACAUUUCUUCAGAAUUAUUGUACAAAGCCAAUAGUGUGUCUUAAAUGCGUGUUGGUUUGUUGUUGAUUUCUUUUUCAAAAUUGUAUGUUUCCAAAUGUAGUAUAAUUCAAUUUGUGUUUUUAUAGAACACAGAAUGUACACUGUUUUUGUUGUAUUUUGGAAACAAAAUUUGUUUUUAUAUUUUUGUGUUUUGUUUUUGUUAAUAAAAAUGACCAUUGUUGUUGUAUCGUUGUUUGUAAUUACUACUAUAAAGAAACAUAUGAAUGCAUAAAGAAUGAUAUUCCAGAAAAAUAAAGUACUUUUGUCGAUUAAAGGUUAAUAUUUGAUGGCUGUUGGUUCGUUUUGAAAGUCCAACAAAUAUAGAAACCCUAGUUCGUGCAUGUGAUAGAGUGGAAUGGAAAGUUUUCCCAUUUCCCCCACAAUCAGAGAUUAAUACAAUGACACAAGAAGAAAUAGAGUUUUCGCCCAUUAGACAUUGUAAUUGGUCGCUAUGAGUUUGAAUGAAAUAACUUGCUACAUGCUAUUAAUGUGAAAUUUUGGUAUGACUACUGAAAAGACUUUUCAUUUGACUAUAUUGUUCAAUAUAGGAACUGGCAUCACAUGUUGGAACUUUUGGUACAUCUUUUCCCCUCUGAUAUGCAUUGUUUAAAUAUGGUCAUAUAUGUUCAAAUUUCUUUGCGUUGUUCAAUUUUGCCAUUAUGAUACAACGUAACUGUGUAUUGUGUUGAAAUGCACUUUUUACACAGGGUUGCAUGUUACAGAGAGAUAGCAUAAUAAGUUUUAUCAUGUCUCCAGUUUGAUCAAUCUAGUUCUAUUGUUUUACAAGUGUUUCGUCAUUUUCGUCUUACAAAACCUUAACUUGACCUUAGUAUUGAUGUAUAUUCAUAAUACUUGGUAAUGAGCUUUAGUACCAUAAAACGAUGUUUACCGUUUCAUCAUAACCAGACUUUUGAUUUAAAGGUGAAAUAGUUCUCUUCAUGAGACAUUUUUAUGUCAGGGUUGUUACAAUUUCUCUUUUUUAACAUAAUCAUUUGGUAUUUUGUACAUCGAGAUCAUUUCGAGAGAAUAUGUCGAGUACCAUUGAAAACAAUAUAUGGCGUUAACCUAAUAUGCAAGGUACGGUAAAUGAAAGUUUCAUUCUACCCAAUCCACCAAAAAUUAAUACAUUGAUACAAGGAUAAAUAAUUUUUUCUCUAAAAAUAUGUUUAUUAAUCUCUAGUGAUUAGAAUAAUAGUAAACAAAACUUACUACAAGUCAUGAAUGGGAACUACUUGGAUAGACUGCUGACAAGUGUAUGCUUACUUUUGAUUUGACUAUUGGUUAUUAUAGGAUCUGGCAUCACGUGGUUUAAGCUCCAGUGCGUCCAUGUUAACAACGGUAUGGAAGAAUCACACAGGUUCUAGAACUUGGGACUUUUGUCGCUUCUUUUUCACUCUGUUUUGCAUUGUUUUAAUGUGGUCAUCAUACGAUCAGAUUCAUUUGCGUUGUCCAGAAUGAGAUUUGUCAUAAGUGAUGCGACAUGACUGUUUACUGUGUUGCAUUGCACUAUUUAAAAUUAUGGUUUGUUGUUAAAGAGAGAUACUUAUGUGUCCUAUUUGAUCAAGCUUGGCACAUUGUUUAAUAUGAAGUGUUUCUCAUCAGUGCCUUGUUAAAACAUCUUGACUUUGAUAUUUACUAAUUGUACUUAGUAUGAUGUUUUCAUACCGUAAGACGAUGUUUUGCGAUUUAUAUACGUUACAAGACCGUUGACUUAAUUUAUUCAAGGGUAAAUAAAUUCUUUUAAUUUGUUGUCCAGGUCGUUACAAUUCAUCUUUUUGCCAUAAUCAUUUGAUAUUUUGAAUGAUAUUUUUAACAUGAGAGGUCAUAUCGAGACAACAUGUCGAGUGCCAUUGAGGAGAAUAUUUUACCUUGAUCUUAAAUGCAUGGUAGGGUAAAUGAAAGUUUCAUUUUUUCCCGUAUAACAAACAAUUGGUACAAUUUGACAUGUGCUAUAGUAGUCUCAGCUAGGUACAAUGAUACAAGAAUAAGUACAUUUUCCCUCCGGCAAACCCGGUAAUCAAUCGCUAAGAGUUAAAAUUAAAAAGAACUUGCUACAGACCGUGCACUGACUACCGUGAAAUGCUUGAUAAGACUACUUACAAAUAAAUGGAGACUUUGUAUUUGAUCAAUACAGAAACUGACAAAGUUUCAUGUUACAGAGGGAUAACAUAAUUAUGUCAGUUCCAUUAUGUUUCCUGUUUGAUUAAGCUGGACAUAUUGUUUAAGCAGUAUAUCUUCUGGUUCGAUCUUCUCAUGAAACAUUGAAUUUUACAUAUUGAAAAAGAAACUAAAAAUAUUCUUAAUUGCUGCUUGCCCUACCUAUACAGCAAAUUUCUGCCUACUAAAAGUUUUAUAGAUUGUCCAGAUUAUACGGUGACACACAGUCUUUGUUUGCAAAUGUUAAUAUGAUGAUAAAAAAAGUCGGGAUAAACUAAUAAAAAAGACAGGAGCGAAUAGAGUGGAAAAGAAGAAGAAAAAAAGCAGGACAGAUCGAGAUACUAGCUUCAAAAAUUUUUCAUCACAGCCCUCGGUAAAAAUAAACAGUAGCUCCCUUAUUUUUCACUGAAUAGACGAUUUUCAGUGUCUAGUAUUUGAGACAAUAUAUAUCUGAAAAAGUUAUAAUAUACAAUUCCUUGAUAUCAGUAUGUUGAGAUUUAUUUAAUAUGAUGAUCAUUACUUAUAUUAAAUCAGAAAUGGUUAGUAUCCGUGGCGGAUCCAGCCAUUUUAAAAAGGGGGUUCCCAACCCAGGACAAAAAAGGGGGGUGUUCCAACCACAUGUUCCCAUUCAAAUGUAUUGAUCGUCCAAAAAAGGGGGGUUCCAACCCCCGGAACCCCCUCCCCUGGAUCCGCCACUGAGCAUAUAGUAGAUUACUGUGUGAUUCAGGUAAAAUUUUGCUAAAACAAAUAAUUGGCAUUUGAUAAACUAUUGAAGGAUUUACAACAAAACCACAACUGAAUAGUUUUUUUUAAGAUAUUCCUUAAUCCCAUUAGAAACUUUUUAAAAUGAUUCACUUUGGUAAUAGGAAAGAACUAGAAUAUUUUGUACCAUUCUUAAAAUACCAUUGUUAACGUCGGCACGUUUAACAGUUGUUUGAAUUACAGACAACAGUUCCUGGAUCCUAAAUGUGUGUUCUUCGAUUUGUGAUACUUAAUGAUACCGGUUCUAAAGACAUUUUUCUUUGUUUUUUCUAUUGCCAAUAAUUAGACAUUUUCAGAUAUUGUUUCAUUUAUAUUUCAGUCUUCGUUAUUCUUUAUUCACCAUUUUUAUAUUAUUUGGUUCUAAAAUAACACAUGAUAGUUAAAAUUGAGAAGACAUUGAGAUGUUUACUAUUUUUAUUGAAUAUCCCGCCACAAUCACUUUUCAUUUGUUCGCCGAAACCUCGUUGUGGUUAGCUUCGCGGAAGAAACUCGCCCAAAUUCAAAAAGAGGCUAAAAAUUAAAUUUGCGGGCAGGUUAUCGUACUCAAUGUUAGUCAACAAAAGAAGAAGCCUGUUGUUACAUUUGAACUAGUUGUCACUUAAACAUUUUUCUACAAGAAGUUUCAGGUAAAGCAUUGUAAUCGAUUUUUGUCAUGAUUUUCCAACAAAUAUUCUUCAUUUUGCCAAAAUCGCGAUGAAAUAUUUGCCGGUUAAUUUACCCGGCCAAAUUGAGACCGCCAUCUUGAAAAUUUUGUUUACGAACAUGGAAAAAUUCACGAUAACACGGCUAUUUAGCUUGAAUCAACAUACUUAAUUAUGAAGAAGUCAAACAGAGUCAUAUAGUUAUAUGAAAGAACUAUUAAAAUUAUAAAUGCGAGUGUAAAUUAAAUUGCUUCAAUGUAUUGCCAUUGUUGGCGGCAUGUACGCGAAGAUCUGGGUCACCAAGUGCUUAUAAUAAAGAUACAACUACAUUUUGUUUAUGACUUGUAUCUGAUGCGUGUUUUUCAUAAAAAAAGUGAAAUUACAUGUCUCGCAGAUUUUUUUUAUUAUGAUGCAUAUUUAAUUUCUGAUUUCUGGUUAAAACAUUACAAGUUGGAUAUUAAAGGGGGAACGUUGUUGGCGGUACAAAACGGCAAACUACUUCUCGAAAUAUCAAUGUUAUAUGAUCAUGUCAGAUAUUUAUUAAUGAAUUUCUGAUCAUUAAUAAGAGCCUUAUUUGAAAAUAAAUAAAAAUCUUGUGUAGAAUUAACAUUAAAGAGUUGUUUUUAUUUAUUUUUUAUUUCGAAAUUUGCAUUGCAAACAUGCAUUUAUAGUUAACAUUUCAACUAUGAAUUGCUCCAGUUGCCCAGUUGUGCAAUAAAACAUUUCUAGUUGCACUGGAACACAUAUUGUGACCAUACUUUCAGAUGCAAAAAUGUGACAACUUUAAUCUAUAUUUAAUUACAUUUGCAUAAUAUAUGUAAUUGAACAGAUGUGUACAACAUGAGGACUUGAUAAUUAAAAUACAGUGGUUUAAUUUGUGUGUAGCAUUUAUGUACAGGUCUUCAAUGUAAAGUGAUUUGAUUCCCUCUUUGAAAAAAAUUUGCAAAAAUAAAUCUCAAUCUAUGGGUCACACAAUGAGACUGUCUGAUAUAAAAUUUCAAAAGGACUCCUAAUAAUUGGAUGAAUUAAGCUAGAAACAACCGGAUGGCAGUGAUUUUCCUAGUAUUUAGGGGAAGGGCCUAUGCAAUUGGGAAUAAAAGUUCCUGAAAUGUUAUUUAUUUAGGGAAAAUAUAUUAUAGUUCAUUUAUACCGAUGGCUCACAGCUCCAGUCGUGUGGAACAUGGAAGUGGGGUUUGUAAGUGAAAAUUUGGAAAAAUUAGGUGCAAAAUUCUGCAUUCUGAGAAAGAAUAACAUGAAUAAGUUAUAAUUGCAUAAAUUGUGAACAAAAUUCAAGAGUUUUGUUAACAAAAUACCACAUUAGGAGACCAACAAAAUCUUGUAUACAAUUGGGAUUUUAGAGCUGAAAAUUGGGAAAAAAAGAGCAUAUUUCUCUUUGGGACAGGGGCUCAUAUUUGGACCCAAAUAUGAGGGUUGAUCACUGAGAUGAUCUCCAUGUAUAAGUACAUUAAGUCAGGUAGCUGUAGGUAUUUUAAGGAAGGGGCAUUAAGUGUUGGCCUUGCCUGUCCUGUCCUUCUGUACAUCCCCUAAAUUAUUGUUUUUGUUCUGAGAUUAGUGUGCCUUGACCAAAUGUUAUAAAACUUGUACACUAUGCUUAUAUUAAGCGAAAAACACGAUCAAGUUUUAAAUUUUUUGGGUCACUAUGUCUAUUCAUGAGAUAUGCCCUAUAGUGCCAAAUAAAAAUAUAUAUGUGGUUCCAGUUACCUGACCGACCCUAGUUUAAACCCCUCGACCCUAGAUUUUUUGUCGAGCCUGCAACUUUCUUUGAGAAAGCUCGACAUAGGGAUAGUGAUCCGGCGGCGGCGGUGUUAGCUCACUUCUUAAAAGCUUUAUAUUUUAGAAGGUGGAAGACCUGGAUGCUUCAUACUUUGUAUAUAGAUGCCUCAUGUUACGAAGUUUCCGUCAGUCACAUGUCCAAUGUCCUUGACCUCAUUUUCAUGGUUCAGUGACCACUUGAAAAAAAGUUCAGAUUUUUUGUAAUGUUGAAUUCUCUCUUAUUAUAAGUAAUAGGAUAACUAUAUUUGGUAUGUGCGUACCUUGCAAGGUCCUCAUGCCCGUCAGACAGUUUUCACUUGACCUCGACCUCAUUUCAUGGAUCAGUGAACAAGGUUAAGUUUUGGUGGUCAAGUCCAUAUCUCAGAUACUAUAAGCAAUAGGGCUAGUAUAUUCGGUGUAUGGAAGGACUGUAAGGUGUACAUGUCCAACUGGCAGGUGUCAUCUGACCUUGACCUCAUUUUCAUGGUUCAGUGGUUAUAGUUAAGUUUUUUGUGUUUUGGUCUGUUUUUCUCAUACUUUAUGCAAUAGGUCUACUAUAUUUGUUGUAUGGAAUGAUUGUAAGGUGAACAUGUCUAGCGGACAGAUGUCAUCUGACCUUGACCUCAUUUUAUGGUUCAGUGGUCAAAGUUAAGUUUUUCAGUUUUGGUCUUUUUAUCUGAUACUAUAUAUAUAUGCCAUAGGUCAACUAUAUUUAGUGUAUGGAAAUAUUUUACGAUUUAUAUAUUAGUCGCGCAGGUUUUAUUUGACCUUGACCUCAUUUUCACGGUUCAUUGCUCAGUGUUAAGUUUUUGUGUUUUGGUCUAUUUUUCUUAAACUAUAAGUAUUAGGUCAACUAUAUUUGUUUAUGGAAGCAUUGUUAGCUGUACAUGUCAGCCUGGCAUGGUUCAUCUGACCUUGACCUCAUUUUCAUGGUUCAUUGGUCUUUGUUUAGUUAUCUUGGUUAAUGUAACGUUUAUGUGACAGUUGUAAUAAAGCUUUAUACUUAGGACUAUCAACAUAAUAUCAAUGAUUAGUAAAGAAGGCGAGACAUUUCAGUGUGUGCACUCUUGUUUUUUCAUUUCUGAAAAAUAAAUUUUCAAAUGAUCAAGUUUUGAGGAUUGUUUAUUAGAAUAAUUAAAUUCAUAGAUUUCUGUCAUCAGAAUUUCCAUCAGAAGUAUCUGUUAUUACUAAAGUGCCAGAAUUCAUAACAGAAUGGAACAAAAUUAACUAAAAACGUAACAUGUCUGUUUAUUUUACAACCAAACACACAUAAAAUGUCAAAUGGCAAACUUCUUGUUGGGGCGUGUAUACCGAAAACAAUUUUGGCAUACACACCAUUUUUUUUUCAGAUUUUGACAAUCCAAAAUGAAAAUUUAUAUAAGAAAUAAAAAAAUUUACUAACCUACCAAACCUAUAGUAUUUUUAUGCCUCGCCUACAAUAGUAGAGGGACAUUAUGUUCUCUGGUUGUGCGUCUGUUCAUUCGUUCAUCAUUUGUCCCUCUUCAGGUUAAAGUUUUUGGAAAGAUUAGAACUUGUUCUAAAUCUUAACUAAGACACUGGCCUCCCCUAACAACACCACAGGUUAGCUACUGUUACUAAAUGUAUUCACACUGAAAUAUAGUUCCCCAUAGUUCUCAUGUAUGUGCACAUAAUACACAUAUUUUUGGAGGAGUCGAUCGAAAAAUGUAUGUAACUGAGGUGUGAUGAUGUGCAGGCUUUUUUUAUGCCCCACCUACGAUAGUAGAGGGGCAUUAUGUUUUCUGGUCUGUGCCUCCGUUCGUCCGUUCGUUCGUCCCGUUCGUCCGUUCGUUCGUCCCGCUUCAGGUUUAAAGUUUUUGGUCGAGGUAGUUUUUGAUGAAGUUGAAGUCCAAUCAAUUUGAAACUUAGUACACAUGUUCCCUAUCAUAUGAUCUUUCUAAUUUUAAUGUCAAAUUAAAGUAUUGACCCCAAUUUCAUGGUCCACUGAACAAAGAAGAAGAUAGUGUGAAGCUCAGGUUAAAGUUUUUGGUCAAGGUAGUUUUUGAUGAAGUUGGAAGUCCAAUCAACUUGAAACUUAGUACACAUGUUAACUAUGAUAUGAUCUGUCCAAUUUUAAUGCCAAAUUAAAGUAUUGACCCCAAUUUCACGGUCCAGUGAACAUGUAAAAUAAUAGUGCGAGUGGGGCAUCCGUGUACUAUGGACACAUUCUUGUUUUAUAACAUUUUGAUAGGUAAUUGGGUAUUGAUACAAUACUAUAAUGAUUGAUAACUGUCAUUAUCACCAAACAAUAAGAGACAAGGUGGACCUUUAAUUGAAAUGCCCAACCUCCUAAACUGUCAAUCAAAUUGACCACAUUACUUAUCAAUCUCAGUCUUACAUAAUUAGAACCUUCAAUAUACAACUUCAAUAUACAAAUAUUUGACCUCAUAAUUGAAUACACAAAUGUAUAUAUUAGAUGUUUGAUAUAUAUAAGGAUGAUAGAUUUAUUUAUUGCCUAUUACUUUUGAUCUACAAUACAUAGUGAUACUGAAAAUUCUGUCUGAAAGAUAAAUUAUCAAUGGAUUAACAAGACCUUUUUAAAAAAAUGAAAUAUGAAUAUAAAUAAGAAUAUAUAAAAGCUAUUCAAGGCCUAUAAUUUACUUGAUAAAUUUCCAAUAAUCAUCUCAUGAUCUGUAAUUAAUGAACAAUUUAGAUUAGUUCACUUAUAAGCUCACCUGGCCCCAAGGGCAAAGUGAGCUAUUCUCAUCACUUUGCGUCCGGCGUCGUCUGUUAACUCUUACAAAAAUCUUCUCCUCUGAAACUACUAGGCCAAAUUUUACCAAACUUAACCACAAUCAUCAUUGGAGUAUCUAGUUUAAAAAAUGUGUUCGAUGACAAGGCCAACCAACCAAGAUGGACGCCAUGGCUAAAAAUAGAACAUAGGGGUAAAAUGUAGAUUUUGGCUUAUAACUCUGAAACCAAAGCAUUUAGAGCAAAUCUGACAUGGGGGUAAAAUUGUACAUCAGGUCAAGAUCUAUCUGCCCAGAAAUUUUCAGAUGAAUCGGACAACCCAUUGUUGGGUUGCUGCCCAUGAAUUGGUAAUUUUAAGGAAAUUUUGCCAUUUUUGGUUAUUAUCUUGAAUACAUGUACUAUUAUAGAUAGAGAUAAACUGUAAACAGCAAUAAUGUUGGGCAAAAUAAGAUCUACAAACAAGUCAAAUAUUAAGAGAGGAAAUGGAUGCAUGUUUUGGCCUUAAUAUUUCAGAUUUAUUUUCAAAGUGGGUUUUUAUCAUGAUGAAUGUAGUAAAUAAAUUAUCAUUUUUUUUUUUCAGAAAAAAAAUCAAAAUGAAUUACCAGAAGGUAUAUAUGAAUCACAUACAUUCAAGCUCUCUACUAUGCCAGUUAGCACAGAUGUGGAGAAGUCAGUUACUGUGUGAUGCAUUGAUUUGCACAGGAAAUGUAGUUACAAAGGUAAGACAUGCAGUAAAAACGUGAACAUUACCUUGAGUAAAAAGGAAUUUUUGUUCCUUUUGUUUAUUAAUUUUUAUCUCCUGUAUAAACAUAUAAAUGGCCAUCAUGAUCUGCAAUUUUGUCACAAUUUAAUUAAUUAACUACAUGACAUGUACCAACACUUUAGGGUAGCAAUUUUGAGGCAUUAAAAGUAGCAAGGAGGUAAAGUAGCCUUCACACAAUUUUUUUGCCCUUUGACAAGUUGAGCAUAUUAGUGAUACACAAUACUAAAAAAGUACAACACUGAACCAGUUCACGUUGAACCUAAAUCUACAGGCCCGCAGCUCAAUUUUUAAAUUUUUAGUUAGAUUCUGUUGGCCAGUGUAGCCUUCACACAAUAUUUUUGUUUGUCAAGUUGAGCAUAUUAGUGAUACACAAUACUAAAAAAGUACAACACUGAGAGCAAUUUUACCAGCCUAGGCUGCCUGGGCUGCCACUCGUCGUGAAGGCUGCUGAACUACCAGGAAAAUUUAGAAGAGAAAAUCAAUGUACAUGUACUACCAUAGUGAACAACUAACUCGAAUGAAAUCUGAAAAAGGUUCAAAAGGAUGACUUAUUGAUUUUCUUUUUUACUUUAAAACAUCUGUCAUCUUUAUUUAUUAUUAGAUAAAUAUUAAACUAUAGUUAAUUUCUUUAUAAAUGUCACAUGUUAUUUUGCAUUGUUAGCAAUAUGUUGUCCACAGAUGUCUGUUUCCUGCAUCCAAUCAUUUUACGUUUUAAAUGGGUUCUGUAUGCAUGGUAUGUGGAGAAUUAUUUUUAAAUUUUUGCUUUUUAACAAAAUACAGAAAAUUACAUCAUGUACAUGUUUUUCUCCAAAUUUGAUCCUGUAAUACACUUAUGCGGGUAAAUUGCACAUUCCUGUUGAUAAUUAUAGAAUUUUUCAAUGGUUUCAUAAGUUUUACACAAGUACAUUUAUGCAUCAAUUAGAAUCUUGUUACAAAUUUAAAGUUAAUCAGAGAUCAAAUUGAGGGUUGGUUGGGAUGCAGGCAACAAGCAAAUGUUUACUGUUAGGGGCCUUAGUUCAACCUGCUGUAAUUUGAUCAAUUAAUGUCAAUCUUUUAUAUCUUUAGUAUUCUAAAUUAUAUUUUCUUUCUCUUUAUGUACACAGGCACACCGAGUUGUGCUUUUGGCAGCUUGUCCCAUGUUGCAGUCGAUGGAAAAUGCAUCAAUUGGAACCGAGUUGGAGGUUCGUCUAGCUGCUGAUAUUAAACAGGAAGCUGUAACCACAUUCUUACAAUAUUUGUAUGAGGGAUUUAUGUUACUUACUGAAGAAAAUGUGAAACAUGUAGAAAAAGUAGCAAGAUUGCUUCAAGUAGACAGUGUGAUCAAAUGUUGCUCAGACUUCUUCAAGUGUCUCGAAAAAUCCACAGGAAAACAACACAAUGCUAAUUACAAAUUUGACAAAUAUGACUUACUUGAAUUCCGUCAUGUGCGAGCCACUGGAUUACAAAAAACUUAUCAUGAUAGACUAAUGAAAAGGAUGUCCGAAGCUCCCCGCCCAUCUAGUCCCACAGGAGGGAAACGUCAAAGAUUACAUCCUCGUCCUUCCUCCCCACCAACUGACUUCAUGUCUCAAAGAGCAGAUGAUGCUGCAUCAAUGACACAAAGUUAUAUGACAGGAAAUCCUACUGGAACAGGAAGUGCCCGAUCAGGUGCUUCAAGUCAGUCAAGUAGAUCAGGGUCACCGUCAGUUGUAGAAAUAAUAGAGGACAGUUUGGAAUUAAUUCAAAGAGAAAAAUCUGUCCCUGGGCAACCUGAACCAUCAAGGUUAUCCCAGCAAAAGACAUCAAUUUCUGUGGCAUCACAUGUUUCAAAUUCUAAAGACACUCGUGUGAUUAAUAUCGCGGAUGACAGCGGUGGGGGAAGGACCCGCGUAACAGACUCAUUUAGUGAUCGUGUUCAAAAUAUUCCAAGUUCACCACAGCAGUCAUCACAACCUCAAAUGCCAGUCUCGCCAAAGAUAUCAUUCCGAGAUACUCAUCCUCCUCAGAACAUUCAACAUCCGUCACCUACAUCAUUCAUCCAACGUACACCAAAUCAAAUGAGCUUUACCUCGCAACCACCGCCUCCUCCAUUACAGCAAGCUGGAACAUUAAACAUUGCUCCAUUAUCACAAUCAUUCUCACAGGAUCGUUUCCAGCAACGUCAACAGGAACAACAAUCUAGUCAGUCUCGUCCACCACCAAUGUCCACUGACAUGUUUAUGGAAAGUGUUAAAACGUCACAAAGUUUCAUUACAAGUACUCCUCAACAACGAACCCAUCCAUCAUAUCCUCCCAUAUCUGGUGCUACUAAACCGUCAUUUGCUAUUGGAAGUGCUUCACAAGGUGGUGCACCGCCGCAAAGUCCAUCAUUCCAAAGUCAAUCAUCUAGUCAGCAACAAGAAUCCACUGGAAUGGCGGACAAGGGUGAAAAACGGGAGGCAGAAAGGUUAGUUUUCUUCAACAAAAUUGUCAUUCAAAAGUGAAACUGUUUAAUUAGACAAGAACACAAAAUUGUCAUUCAAUGAGAGUUGUUAAAUACAAAAUGUACUUGAUCACAAAAAAGAAAGUUUAUAAUGCUUAAAAAACAUUGUUAAAUACUCAGUUUUUGAAAAUCACAACUUUUUUCACUGAAAUUCAAUUUUGUUUAUAAAAUAUAGAUUUCUGUAAAAACUAGAAUUACACUUUCCUUUAUUUUUUGAAAAAUAAUAUUAUGUUGAAAGCAUUAAAGAACAGAUGAGUUUGGAAGUAUUAAAAUGAAAAUUGUUAAAGCAUUGUCUUAUGAAUUUACAGUUCCAUCUUUUGUAAAGUGUGGUUAUAUCUUUUUCAGUUCAAGGCCACAAGAAGGUCAUGAUCCAGGUCCAGAAGGAAAUGAUGAUAUCCCUGACUUGGCAAUAGUGAAAAUAGAAAAAGUGGGCGAGGACGAAACAGGUGGACUUUUGUUACAAGUAGAUAGUGGGCAAGGUGACGCUGCUCAUCGGCACGGACAAUUAAGCAUGGAGGAGGAGCAGGAGUAUGAUGAAAGUGACCUAACAGGCGAUUGGUCACAGGAAGAUAUAUCAAACGAAGGCAGCUUUCAAUCAUCGCAUAUGGACGAUCCGACCGGAGCUAUGUACAUGGGGCCAACAUCAGGUAGGUUUCUUUACUAUUUCCUUAUCAUUUAUUAGUUGCAGUUAAAAUACUCAGUUAUCACAGUUCAACAUAGCAACCUUGAUGAAAAGUGGAUAGAAAAAAUUGACUUAAAAAUUUGAUGUCAAAUAUUUGAGAUUUCAGUCUCCUUUGAAUACUAGACUGAUGCUGGUCUAGAAGUUUUACUGUAAAAUAUUGACUGGUUUUGAAUUAUUCCCCCAAAAAAGAUUGAAACUGAAAUUUUUGCUUUGAGAUGGGAAAUUAGGGAUAUAGAACAAAUCAAGGUUGAUAUGAAGAAGUACAAGCUCAUCAUUAUCAUUAUUUGCUGUUUUAUUACAUGUUUUUCCAAGUCAAAUUUGAGAUAGAAUUAUGAUAUAUAUAUAUACAUUUUGUAUACAUGUACAGAAAAAAAAACAAGUCUUUGCUUUUGAGAUGUCAUUGUUACAUUUAUCGGAAUUUUAAAAUAUUUUUUUUUUUAGAUCUUUUUAAAGAAGAAAUUCAACUUUAAUGAAAAACUAUAAGCUUUUAAUAUUCUUUUAAUGAUAAAUGUCACGAGAAAGCCAUUUAAAAAAAAAAAUAGUCAAGAUUUGAUUAGUUUAUGAAAUUAAGUUCUUUCGAAAUUUUUGAAGAAUUUUAUUGAUUUGGCUUGUAAAAUCAAAUUGGAAAUGUAAAUUGUAGCUAUACAGAAAAGGUAGGUGGCCUUGGCCCUGUUGUACUUUUUGACAUCAAUGAUAAAUGAGGGAGGGAAAGAUCGUUUUAGAAUAAGUCAAUAAACAGUUUAAUUUGUGUGGUUUUGAAUUAAAUAGAGUUUUAUGAUUAAUUGCAAUUGGAUGAGGUUUAUAAAUUUAAAAAAAUGUUAUUGUUUAAAAGACCAUAUCAAAUUUUAUUAAUAACAAGAAUGAUAAAAAGAUAUUAUUCUGAUAUUGAUAAUGUUGAUGUCAGGAAUACAUAAUUUUUCACUCCAAUAUGAAUUGCAGGAAAGAUAAAUAUACAUUGUAGGGUGCUAACUUUUGGUACAACUUGAUAAAAUGAGACUUUGACAGAAAUAUAUUCAAACCAUACAAGCAGCAGUCAUAUGAAAUCAGUUUUCUCAAUAAAGAAGAUCUAAAGAAGACACUCAAUGUUAAGAAAAACUUAUAUGAUACAUUUUACUAAAAUACUUGACAUCUUUCAUCAGGAAUAAGUAGGCAGGCAUAUCAGCAGUCGUUGUCUGGAUUUUAGAACUUUGAGUACUAAAUUUAUCUUUCCUGGCCAUGGUAUAUUUGACUGUAUGCCAAUAUAACUAUGCUUCCAGUUGCCAAGUAUAAUACCAACUGCCAGAAAAGUAAUCAAUCCCAAUUUUAUGUGUGGUCUUCAAAUUUUCCUCAUUGUUAUCCACCAGACCAGAAAAUUAAUCUUAUGCAAGAAAUUUGUUAGUAUGAAAUUUAAGGCUCCAGACAAGAACAGAUACCUUAUAAGUACUGGCAACUGGAAACAUGGUCACAUGUUUAUAUAUUAUCAUUAUUUCAGGCUUUUAAUUUUCAUGUAAAUCUUAUGUCAGUGUCAUUUCAGCUACUUGUUAAUAUAUUUGCAUGGUCUUAUGAAUAAAUAAAAUUUUGAAAUUUGCUAAUUAAUCAUAGUGCAUUUUUGGCAAGCUUUGUAUUACUUUAUAUAAUAACCAUGCAGACAUUUUGACAAGUAGUUAUUAGAAAAAUCAUUUACAUAGUAACAAAGAACAGUUAUCAAUGAAAAUUACUGUACCUGACUUGAGUACAGAUGAUAGGUGAUUGAGGGCAUAAUUAAAAUGGGCUCAUGGAAACAUUUACUAACCUGACUUGAGUCCACAAGAUGGAAGAUCUACAUGUAGCUACAUGUAUAUAGGCACUAUUAAAUAUGAACAAGACCUUCGAAUGGGUUCUUAUAAUACCAUUGAUUAACCUGACUUGAGUACACAAGAUAGAGGAUCAAAAAGGCAUAACAAUGAAAAAUGUAAAGAGGAACUUAAGUUUAUGAGACUAAAGAGGCAGACAAAUUGAGUGACUCCGAUCAGGUGUAACAAAGGAACAUCUGGGAACAUCUGCAGGUUUGGUUAGGUUGUAAAUGACACUGACAAAUCUAUUUCUAUCAUAUAUUGUAAGGUUACUUGAUUCAGAAUCUGAUUCCUUGUGUUCAUUAGUAAUACUUUUUUUGAUUUAAAAAAAAAAGGAGGAAAAAAGAAAAUUAGUAAAAUAGAUGGAGAAAAAAUACAAAUAUCAUGAAAUGUUUCAAUUAAACUAGUUUAGGCAUACAAAGUGCAUGAUAAUUGUAUUCAGAAAACACAAGAAUUCAGAUUGACAAGUAGCCUGGUUAAAUUGCUGAAUAAAUGUUUCAUUACGUAUUAAGAUCUGGAGAUUUUAAUGUACCAAAAUUUAUUCCUUUUGUCUAAAACAUAAUAAUCAAAAUUAUGAUGGUAUCAGUACCUUUAGAAAUGUACCUGGCAAAUAUUAUUCCUUUUGUCUAAAACAAAAUUAUAAAAAUUAUAAUGGUACCUAUAGAAAUAAGUCGGAUGGACUAAAGGUACAUUGUACCAAAAUUUUUGUGAAAUGAUUCAAUAUGUUUAAUCAUAUAUCAUGUUUAUAUAUUCAUUAAUUACAAAAAAUGUAUAAAGCACAUGUUGUGAUGAAACAUUUACAGUAAUAUGGGAAUUGACAAACAUGCAGUUAUUUUGAAAUUUAAAACUUUAAAAGAAACGUGAACUUUUAUAGAAUUUAGGGGGGGGGAAAACAAAAUUACCUUGAUUGUGUUACUUUUUGCUGUUGGAGAACUUUUGUAGUGAAAAAAGUAACUGCAUGCAUACAUAGGCUGUAUUACAGCUACAAUGUGAUAUGAGACUUGCAUACAUGUACUAGGAAAUAGAUAUUUAUAUAAGAGUGUAUCCCAAACUAUGUCUGAAUGAAAAAAUAUCAGACAAAGUCAUUCGGUCAGACAGAAAUUUUUAGAUCAUUUAGUUGAAUUCUAGUAAAAAAAUGUUUAAUCUCUUUCAGUUAGACAAACCCUAACACAGUUUGUCACAUUUUGAAAUAUGGGCGUUGGUUUUCGAAAUAAAAAAAAUCUAGUUUGUUUUCUCUGAUUCAGUAUCUGUUACAUGUACAUGUAUGCAUUAUUAAAGAAUUUUAAAAUAGCAGGUCAAGAAUAUGUGUUAGAAGUUUAUCAUUUCACUGUCAAAUUAAUGUAUAGAUAUUAGAUAUGAUUGAAUCACAUUUAGAUAAAAAAUGAAAAUUUGAUAAAAGCAUUCUUAUGAAGAUAUAUUUUGAAACACAAAUUCUUGACUUGUUAUAAUGCCCUCCCCAAAUUAUUCCCAAGAAGACAGAAGAACAGCAAAGGAUCCAGAUAACAGAUUAAGAACUUUUUCAUUAUACAUUCCAGCUAUUACUUUCUUUAAAAUGUAUAAAAAAAUUGUUUUGUUUUAUUUCAUCACAACUUGUAAUUGUCUACUUUUGUUAAACAAAAAAGUUAUUUUUUGUAAAAUUGAAUGUAAAAAAAUUGUAGUUGAUUGGUUAUUUAGUGUUAUAACUGAAAAAGAUUUUUUCUUUCCUAGUAAAUAAUCACUUGUUAAUGUUAAUUUUGAUAAAAAUGAUACAUGUAUUAUUUAGAUGUUCUCUUAAUAUCUUUCUGACUUUGUCUGGUUGGGUUACUGUCUCAUUGACAAAUGCCCCAAGUUGUCUUUUAUUCAUAAUUCAAUGUAAGAAAAGUGAGUGCAAUUUUAAAGCAUUUUAAGUAUAAUGAAAUAGUUCUACAGGUUUGUAUUUUUGUUUUAUUUGCAUCCUUCAUUUUAUCAUUGAGCUUGUAAAUGUGAUAACUGGGUAUUUUGAUCAGUUCAUUUCAACAAGAUGUUUCCAUUCUUCAAAUCCUUGAAUGAAAAUCGCAAGUUGCUAAGAGAACCUUUUUCUUUAACCGAGAAUUAUUUUAAAAUGCAAAUAGUCAUUUGGCUUUUAUUUGAGACCAGAAGUAACUUGAGAAAAAUUUCUGGCUCUUACAUUGCAAAUCCUGCUUACAACAAGAUAUUCAUUUAUAUUUGUGUAGAUGGUAAAUCUAUCUUUAUUGAAAUGAACAAUAAUGCUUUAACAACUGGUGAAGAACAUUUCAUAUUUAUGGUCCUUAAAGAUUGGUGUCUGUCAUUGCAAUUUUCGUAAUCCAUCACACUAGCUCUCAUUGCUGUUGCUUCAUGACACAUGGAAAAAUGUAUUCAGAAAUAAAAAUAGAAAUGUCCAUAGCAUUUUCAACUAAAGAUGACCCUUUUUAAAGGUUUCAUAUAUGCAGUCAAGGAAGGAAAUGUGCAAUACAUUUGUGAUCAUACCUGUGAUGCCAUACACUUUAAAACACAAUAUUUCAGUUUCUAGUUGUUGAGCUUGAGAGCAUAAGCAUGCUUACACAGAAGGAAAGAUAAUGAGACAAUAAAAAUCAAAAUGUACCCAAAAAAAAAAGACACACAUUUGAAAAAUUGCUUCAUUUUUUAAGCAAGACUUAUAUGGCACAUGCGUUUCAAGUCAAUGAGCUAAAGAUUGAGUGAGCAGAUUAUCAGAAUCGUUAACUUACUUAUAGGCCCUACCCACUUUUCUGCAUUCCAUAACCAGACACCUUGCCAACAGCAAUUGACAGAUCCCAAUUCAACAAGAAAUUCAUGAAACCUUUAUUCAAGUAGUUGACAAAAACAUUUUGGUAGUUGUAUGGUCCUAUGGAUACUGGUGUUGGUGUCUUGUUUAUGAAUUUACUAAACAUUAGUUACAUAUGAUUAUGUUGGGUAUAAACGUUAAUGAGACAGAUGUUAUCAAUGGACAGCUGGAUAAGCACGGAGCAAGCGAGACCAAGGAAACAAAAAAAAAAAUGCAUUACACGCUUCAAACAGCAAGAAGACAUGAAAAGUAUGUUUCUCAGUUUGGCCUUUCUUGGAAAAGAUUUGCAAUUAAUGUGCAAGGUGCCAGUGAUCUUUAAAAAUAAUGUCAACAAAGAUUUUUUCAUGUCUUCUUUCUAACCUAAAAAUACAGUGCAUGAAAAGUUUUCCGAUUUUCUUUGUAAGACAAUUUUUUUAAAGAAUUGAAAUUAUUAUAUUUAAAAAAAAAGAAAAGAAAAAAGUGCAUACUCGCCAUGAUGUAUUUUGGAUUAUUUUCACUUGCUGCUUAGAAACCCAUUAUUAAAGUGAUACAUGAAAGUUGUUUUGACUAGGAUGAUAGUUUAGUUACUUAAGGUCUUAGUUGUAGAAGUGUAUUACAAUAUCUCAGAAAACUUGACAUGCACACAACGCAACAUAAAAAUACAAAAUAUACCAAUUAAACAAUUGAACUAACUGUGAACUCAGGUGCUAGAGACAAGUCCGACAAGACUAUCAACACAAAUUGAAAAAUAAAGUACUCGCACACAAACAAUCAAAAUAUAUGUACAUAAAUUAUGCAGUUAGUUACUCGAUAGUAUAAAAUUUAAUUAAUGGGUAAAUUUAAGUUGACUGUGUUUUAAAAUAGUAUUGAUUAUUAUUAUGUAUUAAAUAUUUGUUUCACCAACACCAGUAGCCCCAGAGUUAUAUGUUAUGUAAAAAUAUGAACAGUUCUUCACCAUGUUGUUGUCAUAUGAUUAAUAUAUAUUAAAGGGAGAUAAUUUAAGAAAUAAUAGAGACACAUGAAUUGGUAUGAGCAGCAAAUGAAAAUAGAAUAAAGCAUCCUGCUAGAUAUCAAAAUGUUAAUGUUAAAAGGCAUAGGAAACGAAUAAGCUGUGUGAGCGAUAUAUUUAUAUUGAAUAUGUGCCUAUAGCUUUGCUUGUAAAAAUUGAAAAUUCUUAAGUUUGAAAAUCAAUUGAAGAGAAAAGGGGGGUGGAUUGACUUUGAUACCUAACACAACACUUUGAAAACUGAAGAUUUAAAAAUGACUGGAGUUGUCAUUGAGACCGGUUCCUGAUCAGAGGAAGGUGAUGAUGAAAGACAUAAUUUUUUUUCCAUAUUUUUACCAUUCAUUUAGAAGAUUUAUGUAUUGUGCAUUUAAGCUUAUUCUGUAUCAAUAAAUAAUGUAUAUUGCUUAAUUGUUUAAGAUUUAUUUGUAUUUAAGUGCAGGCACAUUAUUUGCUAUUUGGCUCAGGAGUUAUUUUCUUUUAAAAAGCAUUAAUUAAAUGAAACUCGAAAAGUAAAAAAAAACCCAACCUUUUCACAAGAUAAAUUGCUCAAUGUCCAGUGACAAAUAUAUAUCUGGUAUGAUUCAGAUUAUAAAUUAUUAUUUGGUAUAGUUUAAUGGUUGCUCUUUAAAAAUAAAAUAACUGCUGAGCUAGAUUUAUUCCCUGAAUUUUUUUUUUAUCCAUUUACAUACCCUUGAGAAAAAUUAAGUAUAUUUUUUCAAGCGUCCAUUUCAUGAGAAAAAUAAAUAAAAUAUAUAUAUAGAAUAGACUGCCCAACAGCAUCUUAAAGGAAAACAAGUUUAAAGCUUGUAAUCUUAAUUUUUCAAUUUACAGAGUAAUACUCUGGUUCAUUGAUUAUUGAUUGCUCAACACCAAAGUUUAAUAAAACAGCUUAUUUAGGAUUUACUUGACUCAACCAUUCCCUAUCAUUAAACUUUAAAAGAUUCAAUUGCGAGAUGUAUGAAGACGUAUACGAAGGCACAGACAGUGCAUUAUUUGUUGUUAGACAGUUUAUACAAGUUCAAAGCGGAUAUUUUGAUAAAAAGAGAAGAUCGAAAGAAAAUAGUGGUGCUGGUGAUUGAAGAGUUUGACGAUGCUGGUUAUAUGCUGUGAUCCUUUAAAGUAGCAUUUAGACCGGAACAAUUAUUUGGACCAUUCAGAGGUCCUUUCAAAGUUAAAAUUGGUAUGGUAAUAAGUAUCAUUUUUGGACACAUUUGAAUGAGCUCAGAGCUUGGAAAUUCAAUAGCCAGUGUCUCAAAUUAACUGAUUUGGUCUGAUAGAUAAAAGAUUGGAGAUUUAUAAUAAUUCAAAAUAAUAGCUCAGAUUGACAAGUGAACAAUAACGAAGAGUGAGAAAUAAUUAUGGAGUUGAUGUUUUGCAGCCUUGAUAUAAAAAUCUGGUCAAUUGUAGGACCCAAAAAGUGGUCAUUGUAAAAUUUCAAGUUAGAAUGCAAUCAGUUAGGUUGAAGAUGUAUAUUACUAUUACUUUAAAAGAUACAUUAGAUAAUUAAAAAUUCAUAUAUGGCAAUAUUCAUAUCAUUGAUAUGGAAACACCAGCAUGUUGUUAUUGAAUUUCUAUAAUACUGAAAUUUACUUGACCUGCCAGUAUUUGGGUUUAAAAAGUUUUUUUUGGAGCCUAUGAUAACAGACUAAUUUGAAAAUAGCAAAUAAGAUAGUCAAUAUAGUUGCUUUUCAUGGAAAAAAGGGGGGAUAAAGGGGGGGAAGGGGGGGGCUGGUGUGGGGGUGGUGUGUGUUUAUAUAGACUAAUUUGAGUGAUAAAAAAAAUGAAUUGUUCAAACUGAAUUGUUCAAACUCAAAUUAACAAAGAAAGUUAUAGUGUGAUUUCUGCAAAUCGUUGAUAGAUUAACUACUAUAUAGUCAGUUGUGAUGUUGUUGAUUUUGUGUUUAAAACUUAGAGAUGUUGUGACAACGAAAUCAAACCCAAACUUAAAAGCUUCUCAUUAAAGUAUGAAUCAAGGAACAUUGCUUUUAUGCACAUUGGUUAUUGAACCUUGUAGUUGUUCUUACUAAGAAUGAUUUUUUUAUCCACAAAUUGACAGAAAAUAAAUACUGUAGUUAAUUAAAAUUUCUUGAAAUUAGCCUACAAUUCAAUUUUUUUUUAAUGAAAAUUAAUGAUGUUUUUUGCUGAAGUUGUUCAUCAAAUUGUCAAUUGAAAUAGAUGUCCUUCACAUUUAUGCCUUUGCUUAAAUGUUUCUGAUGUCAUGCUGCUUAUCAUAUAAUGUCAUAGUGUAAGCCAAUUGUUCAACGAUGUCGUUUAUGCCAAUGGACCUUGACUACACUGGCGUAAAUUUUUCAUAAAAAAUAACUUAAGAUUUGUCUAAAGAAUUUAGGAUUUCAGUAUCUGUGGAAUUAACAAUUCUAUGGUGUGGUAUUUGCUAUUAAAAUUUUAUUAGCUUUACUAAGAAGUUUUGUUUAGGAGAUGAAGGGGUGGACAAAUCGUUUGGAAAUAUUUUGUUAUACAUAUUUUAAUUAUAAUAAAAGGAAAAAGGGCAAAAUGAUUCUUGUUGAAGCAUGAAAUGGCAGUUAACCAAGUAAUACUAUAUGCAACAUCUAUGUUUCAGAUGUAAAAUCAAGAAUAGGUAAAAGAAAAGGAGGUUAUGAUCAGACCACCCUAAUGGCAGCUGUUCAGGUUGUAUUGGAUAAAAAAAUGAGUUCCUAUAAAGCAUCUGAUUUGUUUGGAAUACCAAGGAGUACAAUCUAUGAUCGUGUUGUCAGAAGUAGAAUUUCUUUGAGUCAAAAUCAAUCGGACUAUAGUUGGACCAAAACUUUUGACAGAGACACUUUAUAAGGCAGAAGUAAAUCUGUAAUCGAUUUUCCAGUUUGCAAAUUUGUGAUUGUAAUAAAUGACUUAAGAAUGUUUAGUUUUAUGAGGCAACCAACCAUUGAUCAGAUAGUAAAACUUACUUCUUGUUGACUUCAUUUGCACAGUGUCUUGUUUAUAUAAUAUGAGAAUGAUUUUAGGUGCAUCUUGAUAGUUCAAUGUAAUUGCCAGUAAUGGACAACUUGACAUGUGAAGUGAAGAUUAAAUCCUAUGAAAGAAUUUGUUUUAAUUUUGUUGAUGUUGAAUGUUGUGCAAUGUAUUUGAAAUGUAGGCAGCUUUGAAAAUUAGUUUGCAAGUUCUUAUUUAUUUUAUUGAUUAAGGGUACAUAGUUUCCUUAAUUCUUUAAACAUUAUGUUAAUACAGUUCAUGUUGUGUUGGUUAUAUUGUAAUAAAAUUGGUUAAUGUAAAGUGUUGUUCCAUACAAAAUAAUCCAUGAAUUAUUAGAAUAAUAAGUGAACCUUAAAAAGCAUUGCCAUGAAAUGUUGAAAAAGUACAAACACUACUGGGAGAGCACUUUAUUAAAAAAAAUACAUGAUGAAAAUAAAGUGAGGUAUGAAUCAUAAAUUGGGUUACAUUGCUUAGAUUUUUCAGUAGUUGUACUAUCUUCAAGGUGAGAUAACAGUGUUUUGGUUGACUGUCUGUCUACCCAUUUCAAUAUCAUUUUAUAAACAUGUAUUUUUUUUUAAGUUAAAAAAAAUCCAAUUGAGGCUGAAAGAGAAAGUAAAAUAGUUAGAGACUAGCAUGUAUAAAUGAAGCCAUUUUGACAAAUAUCUCAAUUAACAAUAAGUUUGUUUUACACUUAUAAUAUGAAAUUGAUGUUCAGAAAAAAAUAAUAAAUGGAUAUAGAUUGUUACAGACGGACCUGUCUCCAGACAGCUUCAUAAUAAAAAUUGGAGACAAUAGAAAUAAUUCUAAUAGUUGAAAACAAAUACUGUUUUCAGUUGACUUGAUGAUUGAAUCACUAUUUUAAGAAAUGAAAAUACUUUGUGAACAUGUUAUAAUCUGAAGAAACUUGAUUUAAAUAGCGAAAUCUUUGAUGGAUUUUUUUUUAUGUGUUUUGAAAAAUUCUACUUGUGAAUGAAAAUUGAUGAGAUGUUGGGGAAAAUAAGAUUAGUUCUCAUUUGCACAGUUCAAAUUGUUUGCCAUUUCAAAUUUUGUGUGAUUUGUAAUGAUCUUUUGUCAUCCCUUUCAAAUCUGUAUUAGACUUUGGAUCCCACUGUAUUGUUGCUUUUUACUUGAUUAAAAGAACAUUUUGUCCUAAUUCACUGUCCAGUGAAUUUAUCGAUAAAUACUAGUUGAAACAAAGAAGAGAGACAUGAUGAAACUUGCAGUAGAAUUCCAGUAAACUUUUAUAAAAACUUGUUGAUGCAUUUGAAGAACAAGACUGAAAAAGAAAUAAAAACAUGUAUUUAUGUUGACUUUGAAUAGUUAAGCCUCUAUCAAGCUUUGGUGUAUUUAAAGUAUUGUAGAACAUUUGUUAACCAAGCUAUACAUGUCUUUCAGAAUUCGCCAAUGCUGAUUUUACAACUCCAGAAAUUAUUCCAAGAAGAAGAUCAUAUGAUCUCAACAGUUUAUUGAUGGCCGUUCAAGCUGUCAAAUCCAAGACUAUGAGCCGUUCUCGUGCAUGUGAAUAUUACGGUGUUCCCCGUACAACAGUUUAUGAUUGGAUUGCAAGAGAAAAGCGGGAAACACAAGCCAAAUUAAAUAAACAAAUUCAUGACAUUGUCAUUAAUGAUCCCAUGUUUACAAGACCAAUGGCUCCACCUAAGGAAUUUGAUCCGGCUUCGAGAACUGAAUCUGACUUUAUACAUGAGCAAACUUUCAGUGAAUCUAUGUUUAUAAGACCUGCCCCUAGAUCAGAAGAAUUUGAUAAGACGCUCAGAAUUGAAUCUAAUUUAAAAGAAAAUGAUGAAUUUAUUAAAACAUCUAAUGAACAUGAAGAUGAACAGAAUGAUAAUAAUUGA